RNAcentral lists this ribosomal RNA (492 nucleotides) under uncultured bacterium. RNAcentral describes it as "partial 16S ribosomal RNA". It matches the Rfam family "Bacterial small subunit ribosomal RNA", at positions 29 to 507 of the family's 1533-position model. The record is from RNAcentral.
AGUGAACGCUGGCGGUAGGCCUAACACAUGCAAGUCGAACGGCAGCACAGUAAGAGCUUGCUCUUACGGGUGGCGAGUGGCGGACGGGUGAGGAAUACAUCGGAAUCUACUUUUUCGUGGGGGAUAACGUAGGGAAACUUACGCUAAUACCGCAUACGACCUACGGGUGAAAGCAGGGGAUCUUCGGACCUUGCGCGAUUGAAUGAGCCGAUGUCGGAUUAGCUAGUUGGCGGGGUAAAGGCCCACCAAGGCGACGAUCCGUAGCUGGUCUGAGAGGAUGAUAAGCCACACUGGAACUGAGACACGGUCCAGACUCCUACGGGAGGCAGCAGUGGGGAAUAUUGGACAAUGGGCGCAAGCCUGAUCCAGCCAUACCGCGUGGGUGAAGAAGGCCUUCGGGUUGUAAAGCCCCUUUGUUGGGAAAGAAAAGCAGCAGGUUAAUACCCCGCUGUUCUGACGGUACCCAAAGAAUAAGCACCGGCUAACUUCGUG